CCUACGGGUGGCAGCAGUGGGGAAUAUUGGGCAAUGGAGGCAACUCUGACCCAGCAACGCCGCGUGAAUGAUGAAGGUCUUCGGAUUGUAAAGCUCUGUGAUGGGGGAUGAACACAAUGACGGUACCCCAAUAGCAAGCCACGGCUAACUACGUGACAGCAGCCGCGGUAAUCCUGAGGGGGCAAGCGUUAUACGGAAUGACUGGGCGUAAGGGGUGCCUAGGUGGUGUAGUAAGUUGGCGGUGUAAUUCCGGGGCUCAACAUCGGCGCUACCGCCAAAACUAUUAGACUAGAGUGCAGGAGGGGUAAGUGGAAUUCCUAGUGUAGCGGUGGAAUGCGUAGAUAUUAGGAGGAACAUCAGGGGCGAAGGCGACUUACUGGACUGUAACUGACACUGAGGCACGAAAGCGUGGGUAGCAAACAGGAUUAGAUACCCUAGUAGUC
This 443-nucleotide ribosomal RNA is filed under the name uncultured bacterium. Its description in RNAcentral is "partial 16S ribosomal RNA". It matches the Rfam family "Bacterial small subunit ribosomal RNA", at positions 338 to 795 of the family's 1533-position model. The record is from RNAcentral.